This is a non-coding RNA of Pelobates cultripes (western spadefoot toad), 180 nucleotides long. NCBI's taxonomy places the organism in Eukaryota, Metazoa, Chordata, Amphibia, Anura, Pelobatidae. The record is from the annotation of a GenBank genome assembly.
AUUUUUUUAUUUAAAUUAUUUUUUUUUUUUAUUAAUAAUAAUAAUUUAAAAAAAAGUUAUAUCCCCCCCCCUCCCUUCUUACCUUUAGCCUGGGAGGGGGGGGGGGAACCGUUUUGCCUGGGACGGGGGGGAGCCAUGCUGGCUGAUCCCUGGUGGUCCUAGUGGUGAGCGUGAACUCUA